AUAACUCAAUCACCUUCUCCCUAGUUCUGUGUAUACAACACAUAAAGUAAGUAAAUUUGAUGAAUGCACCAUGCGCGUAGGGUACAAUUUUAAUCUCUCAAUUUUAAUAACUCAAUCACCUUCUCCCUAUUGCACUGCUCUAGGAUCCCAUGCCAAAGCUAUAUUUCACAGUUUAGGUGGCUAAUGGCUAAUGCAGCUCUAAUCAACACUUUUUUGUUUUGUUUUGUUUUUGUUGGGGGAGGAGGAGGAGAGGUGACAGUACUAAGAAGAUAAACUUUGGACCUCACGUCAUUUUAGCUUCACUUGCACACAUUUCUUGAUUUAGCUACAUUUCAAGUUUUCUUGUUCAAUUUCAGCAACCUUCCUUCCGGAUGCUAGCGGUAGUAGUACUGAUAUGACCAUUUGGAGUCAUCUA
Molecule: long non-coding RNA, 415 nt
Filed under: Coffea arabica (coffee)
Lineage: Eukaryota; Viridiplantae; Streptophyta; Magnoliopsida; Gentianales; Rubiaceae
Description: long non-coding RNA (CARA_LNC005499)
Source: RNAcentral